CCUCUUUUUCUUCUCAUUUCCUUCGAAAACCACGUUCUUUCACCCACCUCUCAGUCUCUCAUUUCCAAGUUCCAACUACCUUUCGUUCUUCUUCCUCCCUUCGAUGUCAGACCACAACCCUAAAGAACCCAACAUCAACUCCCUCAGCCUCGAUCUCACCCAACUCAUCUUCUCUUCCCUUCCUCUCCCUUCCCUCCUCCGUGCUUCCGCCGUUUGCAAGCUCUGGAAUUCUCUUAUUUCCUCCCCUUCUUUUACUUCCCCUUGCCUUUCCUACCCUUGGUUCUUCCUCUUCGGUCUCCACAACACUUCUUCUCGGAACAACCAGUCUUUCGCCUUCGACCCUUUGUCCAACGCCUGGUUUCUUCUCCCUCGCCUUGAUGACCCCUCUUCCUCCUCUGCUUUCCUCGGCUCCAAUGGCUUCUUUUUCACCACCACUCCCAAUUUCAGCUACACCCCAGUUCUCAAAUCCGCCUGGCGUUUCACCUCGCCCUUGAAGUUCUCCAGGCUUAACCCUCUUUUGGGUGUCUUCUACGAUGGUUCCUCCGGUGGGUUCGGCUUCAAAUUCAUCGUCGUCGGUGGAGUCAGGUUCAUUGGUGGCUUGGUUGAUAUCGAAGACAGGUUGGCUGUUGAAAUAUAUGACCCGAAUCGUGAUUCUUGGGAGCUUUGCCCCGCUUUGCCGGCUGAUUUCAGGUCCGGGAACUCAAGCCAAUCUCUUUCAUCAGCUUUGUUCAAGGGCAAAUUCUACGUCUCUGGGAUCUACUCUUGCUUUGUAUCUUCUUUUGAUUUACGAAACCGCGUUUGGAGUGAGGUUCAAACUCUCAGGCCACCAGGGGUCAUUUUUUCCUUUUUGAUUCCGUGCAACGACAUGCUUGUUUUGGCCGGGAUGUGCAACGCGCCACGGGGACCGUCGUUUAAUCUCUGGAAAAUCGAUGAAACUACAUUGGAAUUCAGCGAGAUUUCGAUCAUGCCGCAGAGCUUGUUACACAGCUUGGUAGAAAGCGAGGAAGAUGAAAAUUUUGCAAGCUUGAAAUGCGUUGGAAUGGGGAAUCUUAUAUAUGUAUUCAAUGAAGAGUAUCACCAAAAGUACCCAUCAUGUCUUUGCGAAAUCAGUGCUGAAAAUGGGAAAUGCAGUUGGAGGAGAGUGCCUCGGUUGCCAUUACCUGUUAACAAAUUCCAUAAAGUCAUUAGCUUUUGUUCCACCGUUUCUCUAACUCAUUCUUUCCCCCAACAAUAAGAUGAUGGGGGUGGCACAAGCUAUGUAUCACCUUGUUGAUUAGUUGUGCUACAGCCAAGGAUGCCUAUGCUUGCUGAUCAGUCAACUGUUCUACUUCAAUAACUGACCUUCAGUUAACCAAAAGAGUAAAAGAUAGUACUGAAAUAAAUACACCAACUUGCUCAAAGGCAAGUCCAACAACAGAUUAUCAAGAACCCCACAAAUUGUGGUUGCAAAACAGAAUCAUGCUUUCAUGCUGAGAUGAGCUUGAAGAUGCCUGCUACUGUACAGUUCUUCAUCUGCCAGCUCUUGCAUCUAAAUAGUCUUUUGAAAAACAUUGUUAGCUUUUUAUUUGCAGAGUCUCACAAGGAAAUAAGGUCACAGAGUGUUUUGUGGAUGCUUUAGUUUCUUCUUUCGAUCGAUAAUCCCUCAAAAUCGAUCCUCUCAUUCAGUUAACUAUUAUGUUGGUGUCUAUGUAUUGAAAUUGUUGUUCUGAAAUAGAUUUGUGCUUCUUUUCUCUGUCAGAAUUUGAAAUGUGAAUUGUAUGAAUAAAUUACUUUUUAUGGAGUAA
RNA transcript from Gossypium raimondii (Peruvian cotton), 1784 nucleotides. It is a transcript of the gene named F-box/kelch-repeat protein At3g24760, with no coding region annotated. The record is from RefSeq and is a predicted model, not a curated record. NCBI's taxonomy places the organism in Eukaryota, Viridiplantae, Streptophyta, Magnoliopsida, Malvales, Malvaceae. The transcript is spliced from 3 exons.